AACAUUCAGCAUAGAAUGACUAAAUUAAUACAUAGCAUUAGAAAUCUUCCUUAUGAAGAAAGACUGAAGACUCUUAAAUUACAUUCACUUGUUAGACGAAGAAUGAGGGGAGACAUGAUCUAUGUGUAUAAGUGGAAGAUGGGUAUUAAUAAAGGGGAUGAUAAAUUAGACACAUGUGCAACUCUUGGGUAUCUUUAUUGAUAAGAGUUGCACACGUGUCUAAUUUAUCAACGUGUCGGUUCUCUGAACCAUUCAUCUACAAUAAUAGAGGGGAUAUUAAUAAGGUCUUGAGGAUGUCUCUGCAAGAGAGAACCUGCAGUAAUGGAUUUAAAUUAGAUAAGUUUAGAUUUAGAAAGGACUUAGGAAAGUACUGGUUUGGAAAUAGGGUAGUUGAUGAGUGGAACAGUGUAUCUAGUUGGGUUAUUGAGGCUAGGACUUUCGGUAGUUUCAAAUUUAGAUUGGAUAAAUAUAUGAGUGAAGGUGGUUGGAUUUGAGUGGGACUUGCAAAUGAGUGGAUAGAGUUAUCAGAGCUUAUUUCUUGGGUAGCAUUGAAAAUUGAGUUGAGCAAAUGUUUUGUUAGCUGGAUGGAUUGUAAGGGACCUGCCUAAUAUGGGCCAACAGGCCUGCUGCAGUGAUCCUCCUUUCUUAUGUAAUAUUAGUACCAGUCUGUAAGACUGGUACUUAACAUUUUCUGUACAGUUACUUCCUGGCUAGACAUGUAACCAUUGAAGGCACAGGAAUACUGCACAUAUUUGCAGUAUAAUGUAAAAGACACACUAUCCAAGUCGUCUACCAACCUACUAUCUAAACUCGGUAAACUUAUUCUUGUAUAAAUUUUACAAUCUCUUAUUCACCCUUCCCUUUAUAAAAAAGGAAGUAUACACACACACUGCCAAUUCCUAGGGACUUUCCCCUCUUUCAUACAUUUAUUGAAUAAAAAUAUCAACCACUCCAACACUACAACCCCCCCUCCCCCCGCCUCCGCUUUUAACAUUUCUGUCGCGAUCCCGUCGGUUCGAGCUGCUUUACCCCGUUUCACUGUAUGUAAUGCCUCGUGCACCUCCCCCACACUCACGUGCUGCUUUUCUCGACUGGUGAAAGAUGUUAUACGUCCCUGGCCAUUGCGUGAAAUUAUUGCCUCCAUCUCUUCAUCAACAUUUUAAAGUUCCUCAGUGUAUAUACAGUAUAAGUAUAAGUGAGAAAUGCAAUUUAUACAGUAGAUUUUGUUUGGUGUUUUUGAAAGUUGAUGAUACAGAGCAUUUACUGUAUUGUUCUCCAGUUUGUCUCCUGGCUUCCAUCAGUUACUGGAGUGUGAACACAGUGAAAGCUUUCCUUAUAUACAAAUUUUUAUUUCUUGCAAAGGUUAGAAUGUGUGAUUUUGUAUUAUAAUAAUUUUGUAUUAUCCACCUACUGCAGCCCCAUCCUGCAGUAUUCUCCAACCACAGCCCUACCCUGCAAUAUGCUCCAACCACAGCCCCACCUUGCAGUAUUCUCCAACCACAGCACCACCCUGCAGUAUGCUCCAACCACAGCCCCACCCUGCAGUAUUCUCCAACCACAGCCCCAGCCUACAGUAUUCUUCACCAGCUUGCCUUUCUUAUAUGUCGACGUCCGAGAGUCGGCAAUCGGGGCAGCGUUACUACAAGCGUCUGAAGGGCAGUGUUUGCAGCCUAUAGCAUAUUAGUGAGCCAAGUAUUGGACCCAUCGAUGGGCCUGCUCCACCAUCGAAAAGGAAGUCCUAGUUAGCCCUGAUAUUUGUGCUGGAGCAUUUUUUUUUUUUUUUUUUUUUUUGCAGUCAUCUUGUGUGGUUGCCAUCUACAGUGAUCACAACCCUCUCACCCAUACGAGUGCCACGAAGAAUCACAACGACCAACGAGGUAGUCUCAGGCCGCAACCACACGAUCCUCCGAGACCUUGCCUCUCGAGCGAGAGAGCACGGCCACUAGUGCUCUGGCGGUUGAAUAUCGGGAGAACACUUGAGCGAUGUGCCAUUUUAAUGGCUAGAUCCUUCGGCAGGCGAGUCGUCACGCACUCUCCAUCAGACUCCAAUUUCCACGGUCACCGAUUUGAGGUAUCCACUCUCAGGGAUACCGAGGGCUCAUCGUUCCCUCUCGAGAACUCUGGUACUCUCGGAGCACAACCUUGGGCCAGACUCAUCUGGUGCUUGUCUGGUUAACGAGGCUGUUGCUGCCGGAGACCCACUGUCCGACAACCUGGUUGAUAUAGGAUCUGGUGAAGAUGAUACUUGUCCAAUUUUAUGUUGAAGACUUGUACACUUGUUCUGGCAGUGGUAAGAGGUUGAAUAGUCUUGUUGAUACAGUGUUGCCUUAAAUGUUUUACUGGCUCUAUGUGGGCUAUAAACGAUCUCUAUUUGUUCAAGGCCAGACAUAAUUUCGUGCUUUGAACGGGGCCGUCAGCACUGAGCACUAGUGAUUUGAAGUGUCACCAUUGUUAUUAUUUCCCUUGUUUUGAAAGGUCUCAAUACCCAUCCCAUCAUCCUCCUCCUCUGGGCUGUUGUUAUCUACUGUGGCCAGCAGUAACAGCCUGGUCUGAGACUGGGCCUUAGGGGACGUUGACCCUUGAAACCCUCUGCAGGUAUGUUGUUAUUGUUAGUAAGGUAACUAACUUAAUUAUUUCCAAGUCUUUUACCUGUUGUUUUUGUUCUAUUUGGUGAUUGUUGCGGCCCCCUACCAAACUAGUGGUUAAAUGGUUAACCUGCUGGCCGGCAGUACCACUGGGUACGUCAUCAAACCCAAUGUGGGGACUGCUGAGCCAGCCUUAGCAGCAGUAAGUACCUGAACACCUCAUGGUACGCACCGCAGCAGUAAUUACCAGAACACCUUACAGUAGAGAGUAUUCUCCUGCCCAUCUUUUGGUAUUCUACUGGCUUCUAUUGAUUUUAGAAGAGCCGCUCACCGCAGCUCACUGAGUCUGAUGGCCUCAGUUACUUGAUGGCCACACUCAGUGAGCUUGCAGCAUGGUGUUCUGCUAGUAAUUCAUCGGACCACCUUGCGGUGUGUCAAUUGGUCUUGAAGGCGGUAGAUAGUACUCACCAGACCAUCUUACGGUGUACUUCUACCGGCCUUAGAGAGUAUUUAAAGGACAGGUGAUGUCUGCGGACUCACCGCCUACGCUGGUCAACUGUGGGCCGGAGUCAUCUGAUGCUGUUUUAAUGGGACAUUACAUGAAGAAAAGGUUGGAGUGUUACACUGAACUGGGCUAGGACCGUAGUGUGACACUUAGGGAAGUAUGAUGGAGUGGAACACUGAGAUAUGCUACAGGACCAUAGUGGAACACUGAGGAGAAAAGGGUGUCUUGUGACACUGAAGAUGGCCUGGUUGUAGUGUACAUUGAAUAGUAUCAUGUGACUGGCCUCUCGAAAGACGCUACAUCGAUAGUGAGUGUGUCGCAGAGACAAGGGUGUCAAGUAUGACACAGUCGAGAAAGGGUGUGGAUGAUGCAGAGAAAAGGGUGUCGUGUGACACAGAGAGCUGGAGUGUCUGGUGACACAGAGAAAAGGGUGUCAAGGGACACGGUUGUGAAGGAGCAUCAUCACACGGUGAAAAGGGUGUCGAGUGACACGGUGGAGAAGGAGCGUCACAACUCGAAUAAGUGUCGUGUGGGACACAGAGCGUCAUUAUAAGUGUCGUGUGAGACACGGAGUUGAUCAUAAUUUAUUAUUAUACAAAUGUUAUUUAUAAUUUAUUAUUUUAGCAUAGAUAUAUAUAUUAUUAUUUUAAGAUGCUAAUAAUUUAUUAUUGUAAUAUGUAUAUAUAUUUUAAAUACCUCUAGACCAAAGAUUGAUUUUUAUAUAAUAUUAAAGAUUAAUUUAUUUUAA
This is a non-coding RNA of Cherax quadricarinatus, 3838 nucleotides long. The record is from RefSeq and is a predicted model, not a curated record. NCBI's taxonomy places the organism in Eukaryota, Metazoa, Arthropoda, Malacostraca, Decapoda, Parastacidae.